CGGUGCUUGCAGCCACCAUUCAUGGUGCCACCCAAGCAGUUCUAUCUAGAGUCCUGGCCCAUCACGCUCUGCUCCUGGCUGGAUGUCAGAGGCCGAACCUGCAGACGUGUGCUCUUCCCACUUUGCAUGAACUGACGAUGGAGUGGCAGCAGGCCCAUUUACAGUCCCCAGAAGGAGAAGCAGGGAAAUGACAGACGAGCAGGAGUUAGCCACCAAGGAGGGAAGAGACCCACGCCAGCCCACCCGGAGGGAAGGUAAAGGAGUUUGGACACGGUGUCUGUCCUCUCUGCAAGUGGCAUCCCCAAGUUGUCAACCUUGUGAUGAACAUGUCAUGGAAGGUUUGGAGCAGUGGGACCCCCUUAUACACAGGAUUCGUGCCUGAGGUCCUCCUGUUGUCAUACACGGGUCCCUGAAGGGCGGCUGGACAAGAGCGAACGGAAGCAGGAAAAGAAGCUGGGGAACAAAUA
This is a long non-coding RNA of Alligator mississippiensis (American alligator), 467 nucleotides long. RefSeq lists it as uncharacterized. Lineage: Eukaryota; Metazoa; Chordata; Crocodylia; Alligatoridae. The record is from RefSeq and is a predicted model, not a curated record. The transcript has 3 exons.